UGAGUCAGCUUUGCCUGAUUUUGCAG
Molecule: unclassified non-coding RNA, 26 nt
Filed under: Mus musculus (house mouse)
Lineage: Eukaryota; Metazoa; Chordata; Mammalia; Rodentia; Muridae
Description: oocyte_clustered_small_RNA637
Source: RNAcentral